Molecule: ribosomal RNA, 254 nt
Filed under: uncultured bacterium
Lineage: Bacteria
Description: partial 16S ribosomal RNA
Rfam family: Bacterial small subunit ribosomal RNA
Source: RNAcentral
UACGGGGGGUGCGAGCGUUGUCCGGAAUCACUGGGCGUAAAGGGCGCGUAGGUGGUGGCUUAAGCGUGCGGUGAAAGCUCGGAGCUCAACUCCGAGUCGGCCGUGCGAACUGGGCUCACUGGAGCAUAGUAGAGGCAGGUGGAAUUCCGGGUGUAGCGGUGGAAUGCGUAGAGAUCCGGAAGAACACCGGUGGCGAAGGCGGCCUGCUGGGCUAUGGCUGACACUGAGGCGCGACAGCGUGGGGAGCAAACAGG